This 468-nucleotide ribosomal RNA is filed under the name uncultured bacterium. RNAcentral's name for it is "partial 16S ribosomal RNA". It matches the Rfam family "Bacterial small subunit ribosomal RNA", at positions 28 to 507 of the family's 1533-position model. The record is from RNAcentral.
GACGAACGCUGGCGGCGUGCUUAACACAUGCAAGUCGAACGGAAAGGCCCUUCUUUUGUGGGGGGCUCGAGGGGCGAACGGGUGAGUAACACGUGAGUAACCUGCCCUUUACUCUGGGAUAACUUCAGGAAACUGGGGCUAAUACCGGCUAGGAGCUCCUGCUGCAUGGCGGGGGUUGGAAAGUUUCGGCGGUUGGGGAUGGACUCGCGGCUUAUGAGCUUGUUGGUGGGGUAGUGGCUUACCAAGGCUUUGACGGGUAGCCGGCCUGAGCGGGUGACCGGCCACAUUGGGACUGAGAUACGGCCCAGACUCCUACGGGAGGCAGCAGUGGGGAAUAUUGCACAAUGGGCGGAAGCCUGAUGCAGCAACGCCGCGUGCGGGAUGACGGCCUUCGGGUUGUAAACCGCUUUCGCCUGUGACGAAGCGUGAGUGACGGUAAUGGGUAAAGAAGCACCGGCUAACUACGUG